GAUGAACGCUGGCGGCGUGCCUAAUACAUGCAAGUCGAGCGAACGGACGAGAAGCUUGCUUCUCUGAUGUUAGCGGCGGACGGGUGAGUAACACGUGGAUAACCUACCUAUAAGACUGGGAUAACUUCGGGAAACCGGAGCUAAUACCGGAUAAUAUUUUGAACCGCAUGGUUCAAAAGUGAAAGACGGUCUUGCUGUCACUUAUAGAUGGAUCCGCGCUGCAUUAGCUAGUUGGUAAGGUAACGGCUUACCAAGGCAACGAUGCAUAGCCGACCUGAGAGGGUGAUCGGCCACACUGGAACGGAGACACGGUCCAGACUCCUACGGGAGGCAGCAGUAGGGAAUCGUCCGCAAUGGGCGAAAGCCUGACGGAGCAACGCCGCGUGAGUGAUGAAGGUCUUCGGAUCGUAAAACUCUGUUAUUAGGGAAGAACAUAUGUGUAAGUAACUGUGCACAUCUUGACGGUACCUAAUCAGAAAGCCACGGCUAACUACGUG
RNAcentral lists this ribosomal RNA (497 nucleotides) under uncultured bacterium. RNAcentral's name for it is "partial 16S ribosomal RNA". It matches the Rfam family "Bacterial small subunit ribosomal RNA", at positions 28 to 507 of the family's 1533-position model. The record is from RNAcentral.